Long non-coding RNA from Capsicum annuum, 534 nucleotides. RefSeq lists it as uncharacterized. The record is from RefSeq and is a predicted model, not a curated record. Lineage: Eukaryota; Viridiplantae; Streptophyta; Magnoliopsida; Solanales; Solanaceae. The transcript is spliced from 2 exons.
UUUUUUUCUCCUAUUGUUGUUUCUCCUAGUUAGAUGAUAAAUAAUUAUUUUACUUUCUGUUCCGAGACCUAUAUAUCGGCAACAUUGGCUCCAUGAAUGUUGUGGAGAGAGUACCCAAUUGAAUAGCUAUCUUCUUCAUAAAAUCAACAAACCUGGCAUUUUUAGCUUCGUCUUUUGCCCUUUUAAGUUUUUCAGCACCAGGUAUAUACCUUAAAGGUAUAUGGAGGAAAGAGAAAGAUAAUACAAGUCGCUGAAGAGAAUGAAAGACAAGAGGAGUUCGAUAUAUUUUGGGGCUAGAAGCGGGCCUAAUAUUGGAAUUAGGAAAAAAUAUAAGGUAUAAAGGGUAAAUUUUGCUAUUACGGUUUUGUUGAUAUUCACCAGAUGAAGCAUUGUGCUGCUUUUGUGUGUUUCUUGAAGACUUUGUUUUCACUGGAUUAGAUGUUAAUUUAUUCAUUCUACUCUAUUGUUUAGUUUGUUGUACUUUGAUAAAAGUAGCGAAAGUUGAAAAAGAAAGCAAUAUCCCAAAUUGGUAUA